Molecule: ribosomal RNA, 433 nt
Filed under: uncultured bacterium
Lineage: Bacteria
Description: partial 16S ribosomal RNA
Rfam family: Bacterial small subunit ribosomal RNA
Source: RNAcentral
AACGAACGCUGGCGGCAUGCCUAACACAUGCAAGUCGAACGAGACCUUCGGGUCUAGUGGCGCACGGGUGCGUAACGCGUGGGAACCUGCCCUUAGGUUCGGAAUAACUCCCCGAAAGGGGUGCUAAUACCGGAUAAUGUCCUCGGACCAAAGAUUGAUCGCCUUUGGAUGGGCCCGCGUUGGAUUAGCUAGUUGGUAGGGUAAAAGCCUACCAAGGCGACGAUCCAUAGCUGGUCUGAGAGGAUGAUCAGCCACACUGGGACUGAGACACGGCCGGGACUCCUGCGGGAAGCAGCAGUGGGGAAUAUUGGAAAAUGGGCGGAAGCCUGAUCCAGCAAUGCCGGGUGAGUGAUGAAGGCCUUAGGGUUGUAAAGCUCGUUUACCCGGGAUGAUAAUGACAGUACCGGGAGAAUAAGCUCCGGCUAACUCCGUG